This 70-nucleotide transfer RNA is filed under the name Lamprotula leaii. Its description in RNAcentral is "tRNA-Ala". Lineage: Eukaryota; Metazoa; Mollusca; Bivalvia; Unionida; Unionidae. The record is from RNAcentral.
AGUUCUGUACUUUAACUAAAAGAUUUGAUUUGCAAUCAACCAUUGAGUUCCUUAUAUCACUCUAGAACUG